CAGCCGCCACGGUAAUACGUAGGUGGCAAGCGUUGUCCGGAAUUAUUGGGCGUAAAGGGCUCGCAGGCGGUUUCCUAAGUCUGAUGUGAAAGCCCCCGGCUCAACCGGGGAGGGUCAUUGGAAACUGGGAAACUUGAGUGCAGAAGAGGAGAGUGGAAUUCCACGUGUAGCGGUGUAAUGCGUAGAGAUGUGGAGGAACACCAGUGGCGAAGGCGACUCUCUGGUCUGUAACUGACGCUGAGGAGCGAAAGCGUGGGGAGCGAACAGGAUUAGAUACCCGUGUAGUCCCUGUCUCUUAUAC
This 301-nucleotide ribosomal RNA is filed under the name uncultured bacterium. Its description in RNAcentral is "partial 16S ribosomal RNA". It matches the Rfam family "Bacterial small subunit ribosomal RNA", at positions 509 to 807 of the family's 1533-position model. The record is from RNAcentral.